RNAcentral lists this long non-coding RNA (1246 nucleotides) under Equus caballus (horse). RNAcentral describes it as "lncRNA (ENSECAG00000050772.1)". Lineage: Eukaryota; Metazoa; Chordata; Mammalia; Perissodactyla; Equidae. The record is from RNAcentral.
GUCUUCUCAAAGCACUUUAUGUAUCUGGUACCUUUGUGGCAGCAUCAUGCUAAUGUCCCUUUGUAAUUACUUGUGCUGGUAUAUAUUAGCAACAAUAUUCUCUACACCCGAGAUGUCCUUCAUCUCCUGUUCAACUAUCACAACUUCAAAAAUCACCUAUUCCCAGAAACCAUCCCUUACUGCUCCUUCUCCCUCCGCCCCACCCCAGUCCUCCAUGGCUCCCAUACUGCUUCUACUGUCUGUGUAGUUAUUGUGUCCAUCUCCUCCAGGGUGUGAACCACUCGAGGACAGAGAACUAGCAUCAUUUACCUCUGAUUCCAGAUGACGGCACAGGGCCUGGGGCAUAGUGAGGUGUUCAGUAACUGUUGAAAGAAAGAAAGAAUGAAUAGCAACAGACAACAAUAAAUAGAAAACAGACUGCACUCGAUCUGUACAGGUGGGUGGAGUUUAUUUGAAUGGAAGAAGAAUGUCCUCUUUUGGUGGGAGAGUUCCGAAGAGUUAUUGCACUUAUAAACUUCUUAAAUUAAAUAUUGAUGUCGACAACUCAAGAACAUCCCUUUUUAAGACUUUUAGGGGUCAAAAUUCACACAAACUUUCCCAGAUGCUAAGGUCUGGACUUUUAAGCAGAGACAGACUGCACGCAUUUUGAGUUUUGCUAAUUUGUGCUCAUUUUUUAAUCUAGCCACAUAGAUUCCUUACCAGAUCUUCUCUGACUGUUGAAACAAGGAUUCUGCCACAGCACUUAUCACAUAUUACUGUGAUUGUCUGACUACAGAAAAAGAAAUUCUAAAAUUUGUAUAGAGCCACAACAAAACCUAAAUAACCAAAGCAAUCCUGAGAAAGAAGAACAAAGCUGGAGGCAUCACGCUUCCUGAUUUAAAACUAUUCUACAAAUCAAAACAUUAUGGUACUGGCAUAAAAAUAGACUCAUAGACCAGUAGAACUGAAUUGACAGCCCAGAAAUAAACCCUGACAUAUAUCAGUCAACUAAUAUUUGACAAGAUAGCCAACAAUACUCGGUGAAAAAUGGAUGGUCUCUUCAAUAAAUGGUGUUGGGAAAACUAGAUAAUCAUGUGCAGCAGAACGAAAUUGAACCUCUGUCAUACACCACUCACAGAAACUAACUUCAAAAUGGGUUAAAAACUUAAACAUAAGAUCUGAAGCCGUAAAUAUCUGAGAUGGAAACAUAGGGAAAAAACUCCUUGACAUGGAUCUUGGCAACGAUUUUUUGGAGAUGACACCAAAG